UACGUAGGGCGCAAGCGUUAUCCGGAAUUAUUGGGCGUAAAGAGCUCGUAGGCGGUUUGUCGCGUCUGCCGUGAAAGUCCGGGGCCCAACUCCGGAUCUGCGGUGGGUACGGGCAGACUAGAGUGAUGUAGGGGAGACUGGAAUUCCUGGUGUAGCGGUGAAAUGCGCAGAUAUCAGGAGGAACACCGAUGGCGAAGGCAGGUCUCUGGGCAUUAACUGACGCUGAUGUGCGAAAGCUAGGGGAGCAAACGGG
Molecule: ribosomal RNA, 253 nt
Filed under: uncultured bacterium
Lineage: Bacteria
Description: partial 16S ribosomal RNA
Rfam family: Bacterial small subunit ribosomal RNA
Source: RNAcentral